Molecule: ribosomal RNA, 304 nt
Filed under: Salmonella enterica subsp. enterica serovar Chester
Lineage: Bacteria; Pseudomonadati; Pseudomonadota; Gammaproteobacteria; Enterobacterales; Enterobacteriaceae
Description: bacterial SSU rRNA
Rfam family: Bacterial small subunit ribosomal RNA
Source: RNAcentral
CCAGGGCUACACACGUGCUACAAUGGCGCAUACAAAGAGAAGCGACCUCGCGAGAGCAAGCGGACCUCAUAAAGUGCGUCGUAGUCCGGAUUGGAGUCUGCAACUCGACUCCAUGAAGUCGGAAUCGCUAGUAAUCGUGGAUCAGAAUGCCACGGUGAAUACGUUCCCGGGCCUUGUACACACCGCCCGUCACACCAUGGGAGUGGGUUGCAAAAGAAGUAGGUAGCUUAACCUUCGGGAGGGCGCUUACCACUUUGUGAUUCAUGACUGGGGUGAAGUCGUAACAAGGUAACCGUAGGGGAAC